AUGCUCACUUCAGCAGCACAUAUCCUAAAAUUGGAACAAAACAGAGAAGAUUAGCAUGGCCCCUGCACAACGAUGACACAAAGUGGAGAUGCAAAGUGGGGGAUUUUU
Small nuclear RNA from Mustela putorius furo (domestic ferret), 108 nucleotides. Lineage: Eukaryota; Metazoa; Chordata; Mammalia; Carnivora; Mustelidae. The record is from Ensembl.